AUGGCGUGGAGAUGGGUUCUGCCAGUUCUGCGGCUCCUGUAUAGCAUAAUGAAAUGUGCCUUUGGCUUUCGCCAAGUUCCUGAUGCUGUGAGUGAACUCUUUGAUUUCUGGCUCCCCAGAUUUAAGCAGGAACAGAAACUGAUUGUGGUUGAUGUGCCGUCUGUUUUGUGGACGAUUUGGAAAUGCCGGGAUAGUGCUUGCCUUGAGAGUAAGAUUGGUGGUCCUGAUGUGGUGAUUCAUCUAGUUGGACAUCGGCUUAACUCAUGGUUUAUUUUGCAGAUAAAACAGGUGAAUCGCGAGACGCUAACCCAGGGAGUAAAGCCAUUCAAGCAAAUAGCAAAUGAGGUGGCUGGCGCGCCGUUAGGAUGA
Molecule: ribosomal RNA, 369 nt
Filed under: Triticum aestivum (bread wheat)
Lineage: Eukaryota; Viridiplantae; Streptophyta; Magnoliopsida; Poales; Poaceae
Description: partial small subunit ribosomal RNA
Source: RNAcentral